This is a long non-coding RNA of Humulus lupulus (European hop), 1364 nucleotides long. RefSeq lists it as uncharacterized. Lineage: Eukaryota; Viridiplantae; Streptophyta; Magnoliopsida; Rosales; Cannabaceae. The transcript is spliced from 7 exons. The record is from RefSeq and is a predicted model, not a curated record.
UGCAUGUUUUACACCAUCAAGGUGGAUUACAAAAAGGGGGCUUCUAUGGAUGUCAGUGAUGCCGAGGAAUAAGUUUUUUAUUUUUAGGUUAUCUUGUUAGCCACAGUUAUCCUUUGCCUUGAUUUUUUUGUUUUCAUUUUUGGGAAAAGAUUUAUAUCUGAAACUCGAUUUACAAAUGUAAGAAAAUUUUGUAUUCUGAUAUAAUUAGCCCACUUAUUAAUUCUGUCACACUCUCUCUUUCUAAAGCCGUGACUGUUCAAACUGAAGAGAAAAGCCAUAUUAAUGGUAAUUGUUAUAAGGUGAUGAACAAGUCCAAAUGACUAGGGAGUGUUUUUAUUUAGUUCCAAAAUAAAAUGUACCUUUUUCACUUGAAUUAUACAUUUAAAAUAAGUAGAUAAAAUUAAGAAAAAGCUCUGUGCCUUUAUAGACUUAUCAAUAUAACUUUGUGGAUGAGAGUUGACAUGGUCAGAUAACAUCAUAUCAGAUACAUAAGAAGAUUAAAUCAGUCUUCAUUUGAUAACCUUGAAACUGGAUUUUGAUUGGUAAUAUCUCGUUCAAUAUCAGCAGUUGAGGGAGUAGAGUCUACCGAAAAUGGUUGAUCUAUUGGACUUGCAUCAUUGCUAGUUAAGGAAGAAGUAACUGAGAAGAGGAAGAAGAAAUUGAGAUGCUUUUGGAAAACUACCUCCAAAGACAAGACUUGAAAGUAUAACUGCAAGCAAGACUGGACAAUUUGCUGUCGUUCUGGAGGUUUUCAAAGUUGCGUCAGCUCUCUUCAUGGUAGAUGUCCGAAAAGCUGCUGGGGACACUCUUGAAUAUCACAAGGUUUUUGGUGGAAAUAUUAGCAAGGAUCAUUGCCAAGUGAAUUAAUUUGCUUGAUUAUUGUUAAUUGCAAGAGGAGGAUUUUAGUCCAAUUUUAGGGAAACCUCUGUCGAAUUUUUUCUAGGAAAUGGAUAAGAGUUGGAUAACAAAGGACAGACUUUCAAAAGAGUAUGAAGAGGGAGUCGACAACUUUAUUAAGUUAGCGUUAGAAAAUACAACAGAUCCUUCCACCAAUGAAGGACUUCGUGACAAAUGAGUUUUCAAUGCGAUGGCUAACUAGUAAUUGUGGCGGGAAGAACUAUUACACAAAGGAUGAGAUCAAUGAAGUACGUGAAGAAUGGGCACAAUGCGUCAUGGAUUUGAUGAGUACUACAUAGGUCCACUCACUUUUGUUAACUUAGACUUUUAAUGAGAUAUACUUACAAUGUUAACUUAGACUUUCUUGAAGAUAUACACACUUUUGUUGCCUAACUAUAGUUUACAAUGCUUAUGUGAGUCAUUUUGUAAUUAACUUAAGACUCGUUAUUUUAGAUACUUAGUUCAAA